UGAUUAUAAUUUAAAGUCUAACCUGCCCAAUGAGUAGUUAAAUGGCUGCGGUAAUUUGACCGUACAAAGGUAGCAUAAUCAUUAGUUUUUUAAUUGAAAGCUGGAAUGAAAGGUCGGACGAGAAAAUGACUGUCUCAAUUUAAUUUGAAUUAGAAUUUUAUUUUUAAGUAAAAAAGCUUAAAUAAUUUUAAAAGACGAUAAGACCCUAUAGAAUUUUAUAUUUUUUUAAAUAACGGUUUAUAAGAAAUUUUUUAUUUUUAUUUAAAAACGUAUUUUGUUGGGGUGAUAGAAAAAUUUAAUAAACUUUUUUUUAUAUAUAUCAUUAAUUUAUGAUUAAAUGAUCCAUUUUUUAUGAUUAAAAGAUUAAAUUACCUUAGGGAUAACAGCGUAAUUUUUCUUAAGAGUUCAUA
This 410-nucleotide ribosomal RNA is filed under the name Pachypus sp. Samb1. RNAcentral's name for it is "partial 16S ribosomal RNA". The record is from RNAcentral. Lineage: Eukaryota; Metazoa; Arthropoda; Insecta; Coleoptera; Scarabaeidae.